CGUCGAACGCGAGCGCCGGUCUCGCACGUCUGUCCGUUUUUCGUCUCGUUUUUCGUCCGCUGUCGAGAACUUCGUCGUCGCGUGCCCCACGAUAUUAUUAUAUUUUAUAAUAUUGUAAUAUUGCCCCCGUCGUCGUCGUUGCAUUCGCGCCGCACUCGUAAAACGUUUUCUCGUGUUCGUCUGGUGUGUUAAUUUUGGUCUUUUGUUUGUUUGUUUGUUUUUUUUUUUUUGUCGAAGAAAUUUUUUUCGCCCCCGUCCGGAAAAACCGAAAUUGUUUCGUGAGUGCGCGUGUCCGUUUGUGUUAAGUUUGGUGUUUUUUUUUUCCACUGCUUGGAACCCGCACAGACCUGUGCUGCACGCCGCCGUCAUGACAUCCGCACUCCACUGCUCCGGACUCUGAGAGAGAUUUCCGUGACUUACACGUCGUUGUGUUAUUCCGUGAAAAAUAAUAUGGCUCUCAUUCCAUAGUUCGCCUUGUGAACUUGAAAAGAGAUUAUACGCGGGAAAAUAACCAAACUGUGACAUUAACGAAUCUCAACUUGUUCGUUAAUAUUCUCCCGAUCCAAUCGUACGACGGUUUGUGAACACAACCAUUACCACCACAACCAUGGUUCUGAGGCACGGAUUCUGCCGCCAAUGCUCCGACAUGCUGUUCGUCGUCUGCACAAUCACCAUCGUCAUUACAGGGCGCCCUAACGAGUCCUGCGUUUUCGUGUCCUGCGGUCUAUAUUUUUACUUUUACGAG
Long non-coding RNA from Myzus persicae (green peach aphid), 745 nucleotides. RefSeq lists it as uncharacterized. The record is from RefSeq and is a predicted model, not a curated record. Lineage: Eukaryota; Metazoa; Arthropoda; Insecta; Hemiptera; Aphididae. The transcript has 3 exons.